CAGCACCUCAAGUGGUCAGGAUGAUUAUUGGGCCUAAAGCAUCCGUAGCCGGCUCUGUAAGUUUUCGGUUAAAUCUGUACGCUUAACGUACAGGCUGCCGGGAAUACUGCAGAGCUAGGGAGUGGGAGAGGUAGACGGUACUCGGUAGGAAGGGGUAAAAUCCUUUGAUCUAUUGAUGACCACCUGUGGCGAAGGCGGUCUACCAGAACACGUCCGACGGUGAGGGAUGAAAGCUGGGGGCACAAACCGGAUUAGAUACCCGCGUAGUCC
RNAcentral lists this ribosomal RNA (270 nucleotides) under uncultured archaeon. Its description in RNAcentral is "partial 16S ribosomal RNA". It matches the Rfam family "Archaeal small subunit ribosomal RNA", at positions 477 to 747 of the family's 1478-position model. The record is from RNAcentral.